CGUAGCUGCCAGCUUCUGUCUGGCAGCGCUUAUGCACAAACCGAUAAUUGUUAUGUUGUCAACUGUUGUUGCUGCUCAACACUGCUGACGUUGCAUCUCUUUGAUCCAGCACUUUUAAGUACUCAAUUUCUAUGCUGCUCAACACUGUUCUUACGCGUGUUUCUUUAAUUAAACUCAACACUGCUUAAAUCAAGGACAUGCACAAGUUAAUCUUUAGGCACACAAUUUUCAACUCCAACCUACUUUUACCCCACUACUUAACACUACUUUCGGGCGUUCGCAACACUAUGCUGCUGCUUGUUUAUAUAUUCUCCAAAGUAGAACGGAAAUGAAAAUGAAUUUGUGUACAUUAAUAUCAAUUCACCCAAGAACUGGGCCUUUACAAAGCAAUUAAGCAAGGAAAAUUCUACAAAGCGUUUUCUCCGGGCAAACAAAGAACAUUUUCAUUGGAAAAACUGCCACAGAAAUUGGCAUAAAAAAUUGUAAACUCUGUAUUUUGCGUGCUAAAUAAAUUUUGUAAACAGCGCGAUAGAAUGGCAGAAAGAAACCAAUUAAAGUGACCGCAGAGCGGAAGAAGUUGUCAGUUAUUGAAAUAAUAAAAAGAAAUACCCGACGAAAGACAUUCAGUGAAAGAAACGUCUGCUGAAUGCCAAUCAGAAAGAUGAACAUAGCCCUAAAUGACAGGGUCUAGAGACAAGCGCAUGAGCGAGUCUUUUGAGCUAUUGAUGAUUGACUGGCACAGCUGGUUAACUUACAGCAGAGAGAAGCGUUUUGUUGUUAAGUUCUCUUUUCCCAGUAUUACAUUUUGAAAUAGUUUUACAGCACUGGACGUGGCGCACUUCAAGGUCGCGAUACCCCGCCCAAACGCAAAACAAAUUGAAAGAAAAAUCCACGCGUCACAUUCUUUCAUUUUUUUUUUUAAUCUCUUAUUUUUUUUGUUUUGGCACAAGUUCUAAUGCUUAUUUUUAGAUAAGUUGGGGAACGCGCCUUUGCCCUGUUUGUGCGCCGUCUUCACUCUAUUUGGCACAAUAAACCAGUCGAAACGAAUUUGAGCCAAACACAAAUACAAUAUUUACCAAUUAAUCACGAAAAGCGAACGCAUUACAUGGAUUCGGCGAGUGUGUCACAAGGGAACUGUUCAUAAUUUCAUUAUGGAGAGAGGGCAUAUACCAUAUAUUAUAUCAUCUGCCCACAAAAAGGCGACUGUUGUAUAUAAAAUAUGAUGAAUAAUGCAAAAUUGAAAAAACACGAAGAGUGCAAAAUUUUAAGACAUAAUGGAGGAGAGUGUUAUG
Long non-coding RNA from Drosophila novamexicana, 1292 nucleotides. RefSeq lists it as uncharacterized. The transcript has 3 exons. NCBI's taxonomy places the organism in Eukaryota, Metazoa, Arthropoda, Insecta, Diptera, Drosophilidae. The record is from RefSeq and is a predicted model, not a curated record.